RNAcentral lists this ribosomal RNA (350 nucleotides) under uncultured bacterium. RNAcentral's name for it is "partial 16S ribosomal RNA". It matches the Rfam family "Bacterial small subunit ribosomal RNA", at positions 338 to 686 of the family's 1533-position model. The record is from RNAcentral.
CCUACGGGAGGCAGCAGUGAGGAAUAUUGGUCAAUGGCCGGAAGCCUGAACCAGCCAAGCCGCGUGAAGGACGAAGGUGCCAAGCAUUGUAAACUUCUUUUGUCAAGGGACAAAAUCAGGCUCUAGAGCCUGACCGAGGGUACUUGAAGAAAAAGCAUCGGCUAACUCCGUGCCAGCAGCCGCGGUAAUACGGAGGAUGCGAGCGUUAUCCGGAUUUAUUGGGUUUAAAGGGUGCUUAGGCGGACUGUUAAGUCAGCGGUAAAAGCCCGGGGCUCAACCCCGGCGAGCCGUUGAAACUGGCUGGCGUGAGGUGGAGGGAAGUACGCGGAAGGCGCGGUGGAGCGGUGAAA